AUACUUAACUGGCAGGAGAGAUACCAUGAUCAGGAAGGUGGUUUUCCCAGGGCAAGGCUUAUCCAUUGCACUCCAGAUGUGAUUUUCCCAAAUGUGGAAAACUCAACUGCAUAAUUUGUGGUAGUGGGGAACUGCGUUUGCACUUUCCCCUG
RNAcentral lists this small nuclear RNA (152 nucleotides) under Saimiri boliviensis boliviensis (Bolivian squirrel monkey). RNAcentral's name for it is "U1 spliceosomal RNA (ENSSBOG00000005860.1)". It matches the Rfam family "U1 spliceosomal RNA". From Rfam's summary of the family: U1 is a small nuclear RNA (snRNA) component of the spliceosome (involved in pre-mRNA splicing). Its 5' end forms complementary base pairs with the 5' splice junction, thus defining the 5' donor site of an intron. There are significant differences in sequence and secondary structure between metazoan and yeast U1 snRNAs, the latter being much longer (568 nucleotides as compared to 164 nucleotides in human). Lineage: Eukaryota; Metazoa; Chordata; Mammalia; Primates; Cebidae. The record is from Rfam by way of RNAcentral.